CUAUCAUUUAUGACUGUCAUGUUCUAAAAUUCCCGACAAUUGGUUAUUAUUUCUCGACAGUUGUGAUACAAUGUCAAACUUGUUUUAGCUGCUCUUCCACAUAUGUUACGAAGUAAAUGCAAUACAUAUCAUCAUCUGAACUUCAGUAUUUGUUCAUGUCACUGAUUUUUGCAGAUGAAUUUCAUAUUUGUUCUAGCAAAAGAGGAACAUCUAUAUGCGACAUAUCUCAACACUAUAGUUUGAAGUUCAUCAAGACGGUUCUUGAUAAAUGUACUUCCAAAAUUCUUGUCUUGGGUUCCUGACAAAUUUGCCUGACAAUAAACAUCUUAUUUUUACAUAGAUUGACAAACUAUGAUGUCAUUGAAGGAGUCCCUGAAGGGCACGUCAGCAUCGUCUUCUAGUGAAGGAGCUCACCCGAAGGUGCCCUCAAAUGCUACCAAUCCAAUUGAAAAUGAAGAAAUGGUAAUAAUGAAGAAACGACGACGCGAAUUCAAAUACUGCAUGCUUCUAACCGAACUUCGUACAUUAGGAAUGGUAGGAAGUGAGGAAAAACAUGAAGUAGUUAAAAUUUGUUGAAUAGAAAACAUUGUCGUCCCUUUUUGAAUGGUUGAAAAUAGUGAAACUUGCAAGUUAUGAAGCUUAAUAAUCUAAUCUUUGUACUUUGAUGAUGGAA
This 673-nucleotide long non-coding RNA is filed under the name Olea europaea subsp. europaea. Lineage: Eukaryota; Viridiplantae; Streptophyta; Magnoliopsida; Lamiales; Oleaceae. The record is from RNAcentral.